This 568-nucleotide ribosomal RNA is filed under the name uncultured fungus. RNAcentral's name for it is "eukaryotic LSU rRNA". The stretch from base 204 to 357 matches the Rfam family "5.8S ribosomal RNA". The record is from RNAcentral. Lineage: Eukaryota; Fungi.
CUUGGUCAUUUAGAGGAAGUAAAAGUCGUAACAAGGUUUCCGUUGGUGAACCAGCGGAAGGAUCAUUACAGAGUUCAUGCCCUUACGGGUAGAUCUCCCACCCUUGAAUAACUUACAUUGUUGCUUUGGCGGACGCUUCGGCAGCCGCCAGAGAACCCUAAACUCUUGUUUACAGUGUCGUCUGAGUACUAUAUAAUAGUUAAAACUUUCAACAACGGAUCUCUUGGUUCUGGCAUCGAUGAAGAACGCAGCGAAAUGCGAUAAGUAAUGUGAAUUGCAGAAUUCAGUGAAUCAUCGAAUCUUUGAACGCACAUUGCGCCCCCUGGUAUUCCGGGGGGCAUGCCUGUUCGAGCGUCAUUUCACCACUCAAGCCUCGCUUGGUAUUGGGCAACGCGGUCCGCCGCGUGCCUCAAAUCGUCCGGCUGGGUCUUCUGUCCCCUAAGCGUUGUGGAAACUAUUCGCUAAAGGGUGUUCGGGAGGCUACGCCGUAAAACAACCCCAUUUCUAAGGUUGACCUCGGAUCAGGUAGGGAUACCCGCUGAACUUAAGCAUAUCAAUAAGCGGAGGA